GAUGAACGCUGGCGGCGUGCCUAAUACAUGCAAGUCGAACGAACCUUUCGGGGUUAGUGGCGGACGGGUGAGUAACACGUGGGAACGUGCCUUUAGGUUCGGAAUAACUCAGGGAAACUUGUGCUAAUACCGAAUGUGCCCUUCGGGGGAAAGAUUUAUCGCCUUUAGAGCGGCCCGCGUCUGAUUAGCUAGUUGGUUGAGGUAAUGGCUCACCAAGGCGACGAUCAGUAGCUGGUCUGAGAGGAUGAUCAGCCACAUUGGGACUGAGACACGGCCCAAACUCCUACGGGAGGCAGCAGUGGGGAAUCUUGCGCAAUGGGCGAAAGCCUGACGCAGCCAUGCCGCGUGAAUGAUGAAGGUCUUAGGAUUGUAAAAUUCUUUCACCGGGGACGAUAAUGACGGUACCCGGAGAAGAAGCCCCGGCUAACUUCGUG
RNAcentral lists this ribosomal RNA (434 nucleotides) under uncultured bacterium. RNAcentral describes it as "partial 16S ribosomal RNA". It matches the Rfam family "Bacterial small subunit ribosomal RNA", at positions 28 to 507 of the family's 1533-position model. The record is from RNAcentral.